UUGGUAAGUUUGACGGUUUACUCAGCGUUAGCAGGCAAAUCGGAUCGUAAUUUGUGGCUAUUAUUAUUGUUGCUGCUUGCCGCCUUAUUCCUCCUGAGCCGGUUUAAGCGCAUCUACGGCUUCCUUGCCACCAUUGAUAAAAGUACGACGCAGUUAGACAUUCGGCUGGCUUUCUUUCUGGUUUUUGCCUUAGUCACCGUAGCAUCACGGGUCGGCGCCGAAUCAAUUCUCGGUGCUUUCCUAGCUGGCAUGGUGAUGAAACUGCUCGGUCCCCGGCAAGAAACGCAGGAUAAGUUGACCUCAUUAGGUUAUGGGUUCUUCAUUCCUAUUUUCUUCAUUGUCACCGGCGCUAAUCUUGAUCUAAAAGCACUGGUUGCCGACCCAAAAAGUCUUUCAUUAAUUCCGCUAGUUCUGAUCGGCUUCUUUAUUGCUAAGAUUGGCUUGAUCCCAGUGCUGCGCCGGCGGUUUAAGCCUCAAAAUGCCUUGGCUGGCGGUUUCUUGCUGACAACGACCAUCACGCUGGUCAUCCCGACCCUGACAGUUGGCCGCAAUCUCGAUAUUUUAUCAGACCAGCAAUCCGGCGCGUUCACCCUCGCCGCUGUCAUUGCCUGUGUCGCCGGUCCAAUUCUCUUCAACACCUUUUUCCAGCCGGAACCGGAACAUUUUAAAAAGACAAAAGUGACCUUCAUCGGUGGCAAUCUGCUAACAGUACCAAUUGCCCAACAUCUCAGUCCUGAUCGCUAUGAAGUAAAACUGUUGACAGAUAAGCCAGAAAAUUACCACACGUAUAAUUCAGAAAUCAACAUUGCCUUGGCAGCCUAUACCGAAUCCGCUUUGAAAGCCGCUGGUGCUUAUGACUGUGACAUCAUAGUUCUUGGCGAUUUCGAUGCCGACACCAACUACGAUCUCGCGACCAUGGCAUUAGCCGAAAAAGUACCACGGAUCAUUGCGCGAUUCGCUCCAAAAGAUGCUACCAGUGAUCGCUAUGAUCGCUUGCGAGCCCAAGGUGUCGAAGUGUUUAACGCCUUAGAGGCAAAUGUUGCUUUGUUGCGGAGUCUCAUUGAAACGCCGUCAACCUUGCAAAUUCUGGAUGACACCGUUGCUGGCAUUUACGAAAUCACCGUGCGCAACUCGCGAUUUGCUGGCCUUGAAUUGAAAAAUCUGCCAUUUAUUGAUGACAUUACCGUUAGUCAAAUCUAUCGCAAUAAAAAGUUCGUCGCACCGCAUGGCGACACACAAAUUCAUCUCGGCGAUCAUUUAAUCUUUUCCGGUGACAAACACGUGAUUCGCGACAUUCGCGAACAAGUCGAGAAAUUGAAUUAAAGCUCACCGCAUCGCGUGGUACAAUGAGAUUAUUCUAAGAAAAAAAGGUGAUCAAAUGAAACAAGGGACAACAAUCCUGACCUUAGACAAUGGGUAUCAUUUGUGGACCAACACACAAGGUGAAGGCGAUAUCCAUCUUCUUUGCUUGCAUGGCGGCCCUGGUGGCACUCAUGAGUAUUGGGAAAACUUUGGCGAAGAGCUGGCCGAUCUUGGCGUUCAGGUACAUAUGUACGACCAACUUGGCUCGUUUUAUUCCGAUCAGCCGGAUUAUACCGACCCGGAAAUCGCUAAAAAAUACCUGACCACUGACUACUUUCUUGGCGAAGUAGAAGAAGUUCGCCAAAAGCUGGGUCUGGAUCAUUUUUACCUCAUCGGCCAAAGCUGGGGCGGUGCCUUAACCCAGCUAUAUGCCCUGAAAUAUGGUCAGCAUCUUAAAGGCGCAAUUAUCUCUUCAAUGGUCGACAACAUCAACGAAUACGUUGAUCAUAUCAACCUCGUCCGUGAAGAAGCUUUGCCGCCGUCAGCGGUUAAGUACAUGAAGAAAAUUGAAAAAGCUGGUAACUGGGACGACCCGCAGUAUCAGAAAUAUGUGGAUGUCCUCAAUCGCGGUUAUGUUGAUCGCAAACAGCCACCAGCAAUUUCACACCUGAUUAGCACCAUGGCCACGCCUGUCUACAAUGCUUUCCAAGGCGACAAUGAGUUUGUUGUGACCGGUAAGUUGAAGAACUGGGAUAUCAGUGAUCAGAUUCACAAUAUCAAGGUUCCAACCUUGCUCACAUUCGGCGAACAUGAAACCAUGCCACUGAAGUCAGCCCAACGUAUGGCUGAGGUCAUCCCACAUGCCCGACUGGUCACCACCCCAGACGGCGGCCACCAUCACAUGAUUGAUAACGCCCCAGUUUACUUCAAACAUUUGAAGCAAUUUAUCUCUGAUGUCGAAAAUGGGACUUUUAACGACUAAUAUCACCGAACGCGCCGCAGUUAGCGACGCGUUUUUCUGACGAAGGAGUAUGAAAGCAUGGCUUAUACAGUUGAUUUUAAAACGGUCAGCACCAUUGGUCUUGAAAGCUCGCCUGUUGCUGCAGCAUUGGCAGGAUUGCGCGCAAAUGAAGCGCGUUACAUCUGGAAUAAGUAUAAGAAACCUUAUAUCACUUAUCCGGCUGCCGAAAAACCUGACAGUCUCGCGUGGGUU
RNAcentral lists this ribosomal RNA (2515 nucleotides) under Lacticaseibacillus paracasei. RNAcentral's name for it is "Lactobacillus paracasei 23S ribosomal RNA". Lineage: Bacteria; Bacillati; Bacillota; Bacilli; Lactobacillales; Lactobacillaceae. The record is from RNAcentral.